Molecule: long non-coding RNA, 1036 nt
Organism: Pseudophryne corroboree (corroboree frog)
Lineage: Eukaryota; Metazoa; Chordata; Amphibia; Anura; Myobatrachidae
Exons: 3
Source: RefSeq, a predicted model, not a curated record
UUGUAACGUGCUGACGUCACGCAGAGGAAAGUGGCAGACGCGCGCAGUGUGUGUGUGCCGGCGGGAGCUGUCAUUAUGCGUCGCUGUGGGCGCGCAACGGCGGCACGGAGAAGGUUAUUGCUUGGUGACGUCACCGGUGUCUAGGCGGCUGAUACGAAAUGGUGGAGAACGAGUCUGUGCGGGUGUACUCCGGCGUGUUGGCUGACCUGGAGAAACUAACCAGUGAAGCAGGGGUACUGGCUGAGCAUAAUAAGCGAAUAAGAGAGAACAACAUGGCACUGAAAACGUUAAACACAAGCUUUGAUCAGGUCCAGUCCAGACUUGUGCGUGUUGCCGCUAUAAAGCCAGGCCUCUGCAAAACCCUUCUGUAAAACAUGUUCCACCAUAAUGAUCAUAUAGCAGGAGAUGAAGCCCACUAUAUCAAGUUUGCUCUCCACUUAUCGUUUCCGUAUAUUUAAUAUGUUAAGCCUUCUGUGCACAUAUGCAGUGUGUCAGUGUAGUUUAGUGUUCUAGAGUUUUAUUGAUAAAAAGGCCCAAAUGUAUUAAGACUUAACAAGAGAUAAAGUGGAGACGGAUAAAGAGUGCUAAAGUACCAGCUAAUCAGCUUCCUAACUGCCAUGUCACAGGCUGUGUUUGAAAAAUGACAGUUAGGAGCUGAUUGGCUGGUCAUUUAUCACUCUUUAUCCAUCUCCACUAUAUAACUUGUUAAGGUUUAAUACAUUUGGUCCAAUGUAUGUUUGGAGAUGAUCACUGAUGUCGGGGCAUAAAAUAACAUGCAAUGUAUGUUCAUUGUGCUUUGUUUGGAUACAUAGUAGAUGGUUCCAAAACAAUCUAUUUUAUUAAUUGAAUAGCAAUAUAAAUUAAAAGCAGUAUUUGACUGAUUAGAUAUUUUUUGACUUGCCCUUUUUGUAGACUUUAUCUAUUUAAUAUUGCAUUGACUUUAAUGGGAAGCUAUGCUGAAACAUUGUUCCAUUUGUUUAUAAACCAGUACCUGCUUUUCAUAGUUCUUAUUGGUAAAUAAACCAUGAUACAUCCA